AAGUGGGGACGACCUCACCGCUCCAAUACACUCCGGGGACGACCCCG
This 47-nucleotide non-coding RNA is filed under the name Desulfurispirillum indicum S5. RNAcentral describes it as "Guanidine-II riboswitch aptamer (mini-ykkC)". It matches the Rfam family "Guanidine-II riboswitch aptamer (mini-ykkC)". Rfam says of the family: Simpler in structure and has fewer highly conserved nucleotide positions than the ykkC-yxkD leader. Despite this each of its two stem-loop structures directly bind free guanidine. The record is from Rfam by way of RNAcentral. Lineage: Bacteria; Pseudomonadati; Chrysiogenota; Chrysiogenia; Chrysiogenales; Chrysiogenaceae. RNAcentral also lists the same sequence under 1 other name.